GGUUAAGCGACUAAGCGUACACGGUGGAUGCCCUGGCAGUCAGAGGCGAUGAAGGACGUGCUAAUCUGCGAUAAGCGUCGGUAAGGUGAUAUGAACCGUUAUAACCGGCGAUUUCCGAAUGGGGAAACCCAGUGUGUUUCGACACACUAUCAUUAACUGAAUCCAUAGGUUAAUGAGGCGAACCGGGGGAACUGAAACAUCUAAGUACCCCGAGGAAAAGAAAUCAACCGAGAUUCCCCCAGUAGCGGCGAGCGAACGGGGAGCAGCCCAGAGCCUGAAUCAGUGUGUGUGUUAGUGGAAGCGUCUGGAAAGGCGCGCGAUACAGGGUGACAGCCCCGUACACAAAAAUGCACAUGCUGUGAGCUCGAUGAGUAGGGCGGGACACGUGGUAUCCUGUCUGAAUAUGGGGGGACCAUCCUCCAAGGCUAAAUACUCCUGACUGACCGAUAGUGAACCAGUACCGUGAGGGAAAGGCGAAAAGAACCCCGGCGAGGGGAGUGAAAAAGAACCUGAAACCGUGUACGUACAAGCAGUGGGAGCACGCUUAGGCGUGUGACUGCGUACCUUUUGUAUAAUGGGUCAGCGACUUAUAUUCUGUAGCAAGGUUAACCGAAUAGGGGAGCCGAAGGGAAACCGAGUCUUAACUGGGCGUUAAGUUGCAGGGUAUAGACCCGAAACCCGGUGAUCUAGCCAUGGGCAGGUUGAAGGUUGGGUAACACUAACUGGAGGACCGAACCGACUAAUGUUGAAAAAUUAGCGGAUGACUUGUGGCUGGGGGUGAAAGGCCAAUCAAACCGGGAGAUAGCUGGUUCUCCCCGAAAGCUAUUUAGGUAGCGCCUCGUGAAUUCAUCUCCGGGGGUAGAGCACUGUUUCGGCAAGGGGGUCAUCCCGACUUACCAACCCGAUGCAAACUGCGAAUACCGGAGAAUGUUAUCACGGGAGACACACGGCGGGUGCUAACGUCCGUCGUGAAGAGGGAAACAACCCAGACCGCCAGCUAAGGUCCCAAAGUCAUGGUUAAGUGGGAAACGAUGUGGGAAGGCCCAGACAGCCAGGAUGUUGGCUUAGAAGCAGCCAUCAUUUAAAGAAAGCGUAAUAGCUCACUGGUCGAGUCGGCCUGCGCGGAAGAUGUAACGGGGCUAAACCAUGCACCGAAGCUGCGGCAGCGACGCUGAUGCGUUGUUGGGUAGGGGAGCGUUCUGUAAGCCUGCGAAGGUGUGCUGUGAGGCAUGCUGGAGGUAUCAGAAGUGCGAAUGCUGACAUAAGUAACGAUAAAGCGGGUGAAAAGCCCGCUCGCCGGAAGACCAAGGGUUCCUGUCCAACGUUAAUCGGGGCAGGGUGAGUCGACCCCUAAGGCGAGGCCGAAAGGCGUAGUCGAUGGGAAACAGGUUAAUAUUCCUGUACUUGGUGUUACUGCGAAGGGGGGACGGAGAAGGCUAUGUUGGCCGGGCGACGGUUGUCCCGGUUUAAGCGUGUAGGCUGGUUUUCCAGGCAAAUCCGGAAAAUCAAGGCUGAGGCGUGAUGACGAGGCACUACGGUGCUGAAGCAACAAAUGCCCUGCUUCCAGGAAAAGCCUCUAAGCAUCAGGUAACAUCAAAUCGUACCCCAAACCGACACAGGUGGUCAGGUAGAGAAUACCAAGGCGCUUGAGAGAACUCGGGUGAAGGAACUAGGCAAAAUGGUGCCGUAACUUCGGGAGAAGGCACGCUGAUAUGUAGGUGAAGCGACUUGCUCGUGGAGCUGAAAUCAGUCGAAGAUACCAGCUGGCUGCAACUGUUUAUUAAAAACACAGCACUGUGCAAACACGAAAGUGGACGUAUACGGUGUGACGCCUGCCCGGUGCCGGAAGGUUAAUUGAUGGGGUUAGCGCAAGCGAAGCUCUUGAUCGAAGCCCCGGUAAACGGCGGCCGUAACUAUAACGGUCCUAAGGUAGCGAAAUUCCUUGUCGGGUAAGUUCCGACCUGCACGAAUGGCGUAAUGAUGGCCAGGCUGUCUCCACCCGAGACUCAGUGAAAUUGAACUCGCUGUGAAGAUGCAGUGUACCCGCGGCAAGACGGAAAGACCCCGUGAACCUUUACUAUAGCUUGACACUGAACAUUGAGCCUUGAUGUGUAGGAUAGGUGGGAGGCUUUGAAGUGUGGACGCCAGUCUGCAUGGAGCCGACCUUGAAAUACCACCCUUUAAUGUUUGAUGUUCUAACGUUGACCCGUAAUCCGGGUUGCGGACAGUGUCUGGUGGGUAGUUUGACUGGGGCGGUCUCCUCCUAAAGAGUAACGGAGGAGCACGAAGGUUGGCUAAUCCUGGUCGGACAUCAGGAGGUUAGUGCAAUGGCAUAAGCCAGCUUGACUGCGAGCGUGACGGCGCGAGCAGGUGCGAAAGCAGGUCAUAGUGAUCCGGUGGUUCUGAAUGGAAGGGCCAUCGCUCAACGGAUAAAAGGUACUCCGGGGAUAACAGGCUGAUACCGCCCAAGAGUUCAUAUCGACGGCGGUGUUUGGCACCUCGAUGUCGGCUCAUCACAUCCUGGGGCUGAAGUAGGUCCCAAGGGUAUGGCUGUUCGCCAUUUAAAGUGGUACGCGAGCUGGGUUUAGAACGUCGUGAGACAGUUCGGUCCCUAUCUGCCGUGGGCGCUGGAGAACUGAGGGGGGCUGCUCCUAGUACGAGAGGACCGGAGUGGACGCAUCACUGGUGUUCGGGUUGUCAUGCCAAUGGCACUGCCCGGUAGCUAAAUGCGGAAGAGAUAAGUGCUGAAAGCAUCUAAGCACGAAACUUGCCCCGAGAUGAGUUCUCCCUGACUCCUUGAGAGUCCUGAAGGAACGUUGAAGACGACGACGUUGAUAGGCCGGGUGUGUAAGCGCAGCGAUGCGUUGAGCUAACCGGUACUAAUGAACCGUGAGGCUUAACCUU
Molecule: ribosomal RNA, 2904 nt
Filed under: Escherichia coli
Lineage: Bacteria; Pseudomonadati; Pseudomonadota; Gammaproteobacteria; Enterobacterales; Enterobacteriaceae
Also listed under: 1 other name
Description: 23S ribosomal RNA
Rfam family: Bacterial large subunit ribosomal RNA
Source: RNAcentral